GCAGGGCAACCCCGCUCACUUACAGGAAGUGGACAUGGGCAGAGGGAGAAGACAUACAUCCCUUCAUAUAUCCAGAUGAAUAAGGAAAGAGCAGAGAGGGGGGAGAGAGAGACAGAGGAAGAGAGAGAGAGAUGCCAGUUGGUAACAAAAAGAGCACAGAGCAAGCGAGAGUGGAGCCUGGCACUGAGUCAGGGCGAGUCUAAGCAGACUAUUUAUAGCUAUUUAUAGCUCCUUCCCCUCCCAGCACAGCGAGAGAGCACAAUGGAGGAAAGAGAAGCAGCAGGGGGAGCUAGGAACACCAUGCAGCACGGACUGGGAACAAACAGCAGACUGCAUAUCAGAUGAAAGGAGGAAACACUUCCAACGUAGCGAAGCACUUCAAAGACAGACAUCCAGAUUUAUUCAAAGAAUUCAAGUAUCAGCCACAGGAGGAUGUCGACCAGGAGAG
This is a long non-coding RNA of Megalops cyprinoides (Indo-Pacific tarpon), 448 nucleotides long. RefSeq lists it as uncharacterized. Lineage: Eukaryota; Metazoa; Chordata; Actinopteri; Elopiformes; Megalopidae. The transcript has 3 exons. The record is from RefSeq and is a predicted model, not a curated record.